This 468-nucleotide ribosomal RNA is filed under the name uncultured bacterium. RNAcentral's name for it is "partial 16S ribosomal RNA". It matches the Rfam family "Bacterial small subunit ribosomal RNA", at positions 28 to 507 of the family's 1533-position model. The record is from RNAcentral.
GACGAACGCUGGCGGCGUGCUUAACACAUGCAAGUCGAACGGAAAGGCCCUGCUUUUGUGGGGUGCUCGAGUGGCGAACGGGUGAGUAACACGUGAGUAACCUGCCCUUGACUUUGGGAUAACUUCAGGAAACUGGGGCUAAUACCGGAUAGGAGCUCCUGCUGCAUGGUGGGGGUUGGAAAGUUUCGGCGGUCGGGGAUGGACUCGCGGCUUAUCAGCUUGUUGGUGGGGUAGUGGCUUACCAAGGCUUUGACGGGUAGCCGGCCUGAGAGGGUGACCGGCCACAUUGGGACUGAGAUACGGCCCAGACUCCUACGGGGGGCAGCAGUGGGGAAUAUUGCACAAUGGGCGGAAGCCUGAUGCAGCAGCGCCGCGUGCGGGAUGACGGCCUUCGGGUUGUAAACCGCUUUCGCCUGUGACGAAGCGUGAGUGACGGUAAUGGGUAAAGAAGCACCGGCUAACUACGUG